GACGAACGCUGGCGGCGUGCUUAACACAUGCAAGUCGAACGAUGAAGCUGGAGCUUGCUCCGGUGGAUUAGUGGCGAACGGGUGAGUAACACGUGAGCAAUCUGCCCUUGACUCUGGGAUAACUGCGGGAAACUGUAGCUAAUACCGGAUAUGAGGCUAGAAGGCAUCUUCGGGUCUGGAAAGAAUUUCGGUCAAGGAUGAGCUCGCGGCCCAUCAGCUUGUUGGUGAGGUAAUGGCUCACCAAGGCGACGACGGGUAGCCGGCCUGAGAGGGUGACCGGCCACACUGGGACUGAGACACGGCCCAGACUCCUACGGGAGGCAGCAGUGGGGAAUAUUGCACAAUGGGCGAAAGCCUGAUGCAGCAACGCCGCGUGAGGGAUGAAGGCCUUCGGGUUGUAAACCUCUUUUAGCAGGGAAGAAGCGAAAGUGACGGUACCUGCGGAAAAAGCACCGGCUAACUACGUGCCAGCCGCCGCAGUAA
Molecule: ribosomal RNA, 483 nt
Filed under: uncultured bacterium
Lineage: Bacteria
Description: partial 16S ribosomal RNA
Rfam family: Bacterial small subunit ribosomal RNA
Source: RNAcentral